This 114-nucleotide ribosomal RNA is filed under the name Carlito syrichta (Philippine tarsier). The record is from RNAcentral. Lineage: Eukaryota; Metazoa; Chordata; Mammalia; Primates; Tarsiidae.
GUCUGUGGCCAUACCAUCCUAAACACACCCAAUCCAGUCUGAUCUUGGAAGCUAAGGGAUAGCACCUGGUUGGAACUUGGAUGGGAGAAAUGGACUAAAAAGAUAGCUGAGAGU